UACGAAGGGGGCUAGCGUUGUUCGGAUUUACUGGGCGUAAAGCGCACGUAGGCGGAUCGUUAAGUCGGGGGUGAAAUCCUGGAGCUCAACUCCAGAACUGCCUUCGAUACUGGCGAUCUUGAGUCCGGAAGAGGUGAGUGGAACUCCUAGUGUAGAGGUGGAAUUCGUAGAUAUUAGGAAGAACACCAGUGGCGAAGGCGGCUCACUGGUCCGGUACUGACGCUGAGGUGCGAAAGCGUGGGGAGCGAACAGG
This 253-nucleotide ribosomal RNA is filed under the name uncultured bacterium. RNAcentral describes it as "partial 16S ribosomal RNA". It matches the Rfam family "Bacterial small subunit ribosomal RNA", at positions 524 to 776 of the family's 1533-position model. The record is from RNAcentral.